UACGUAGGGUGCGAGCGUUGUCCGGAAUUAUUGGGCGUAAAGAGCUCGUAGGCGGUUUGUUGCGUCUAUCGUGAAAACCUGCAGCUUAACUGUGGGCUUGCGGUGGAUACGGGCAGACUUGAGUUCGGUAGGGGAGACUGGAAUUCCUGGUGUAGCGGUGAAAUGCGCAGAUAUCAGGAGGAACACCGGCGGCGAAGGCGGGUCUCUGGGCCGAUACUGACGCUGAGGAGCGAAAGCGUGGGGAGCGAACAGG
This 253-nucleotide ribosomal RNA is filed under the name uncultured bacterium. Its description in RNAcentral is "partial 16S ribosomal RNA". It matches the Rfam family "Bacterial small subunit ribosomal RNA", at positions 524 to 776 of the family's 1533-position model. The record is from RNAcentral.